GAUGAACGCUGGCGGCGUGCUUAACACAUGCAAGUCGAACGGAAAGGCCAGUGCUUGCACUGGUACUCGAGUGGCGAACGGGUGAGUAACACGUGGGUGAUCUGCCCUGCACUUCGGGAUAAGCCUGGGAAACUGGGUCUAAUACCGGAUAGGACAAUGGUUUGGAUGCCGUUGUGGAAAGUUUUUUCGGUGUGGGAUGAGCUCGCGGCCUAUCAGCUUGUUGGUGGGGUAAUGGCCUACCAAGGCGUCGACGGGUAGCCGGCCUGAGAGGGUGUACGGCCACAUUGGGACUGAGAUACGGCCCAGACUCCUACGGGAGGCAGCAGUGGGGAAUAUUGCACAAUGGGCGCAAGCCUGAGGCAGCGACGCCGCGUGGGGGAUGACAGCCUUCGGGUUGUAAACUCCUUUCGCUAGGGACGAAGCGUAUUUGUGACGGUACCUGGAGAAGAAGCACCGGCUAACUACGUG
Molecule: ribosomal RNA, 468 nt
Filed under: uncultured bacterium
Lineage: Bacteria
Description: partial 16S ribosomal RNA
Rfam family: Bacterial small subunit ribosomal RNA
Source: RNAcentral